This 270-nucleotide ribosomal RNA is filed under the name uncultured bacterium. Its description in RNAcentral is "partial 16S ribosomal RNA". It matches the Rfam family "Bacterial small subunit ribosomal RNA", at positions 525 to 796 of the family's 1533-position model. The record is from RNAcentral.
ACGGAGGGUGCAAGCGUUAUCCGGAUCACUGGGUUUAAAGGGUGCGUAGGCGGCACAAUAAGUCAGAAGUGAAGAGGCAGCUUAACUAUGGAAUUGCUUUUGAUACUGUUGAGCUUGAAUUGGGUUGAGGUUAGCGGAAUGAGUCAUGUAGCGGUGAAAUGCAUAGAUAUGACUUAGAACACCAAUUGCGAAGGCAGCUAACUGGGCCUUGAUUGACGCUGAGGCACGAAAGCGUGGGGAGCGAACAGGAUUAGAUACCCCGUGUCAUCC